RNAcentral lists this ribosomal RNA (401 nucleotides) under uncultured bacterium. RNAcentral's name for it is "bacterial SSU rRNA". It matches the Rfam family "Bacterial small subunit ribosomal RNA", at positions 359 to 776 of the family's 1533-position model. The record is from RNAcentral.
GAAUAUUGGACAAUGGGCGCAAGCCUGAUCCAGCCAUGCCGCGUGAGUGAUGAAGGCCUUAGGGUUGUAAAGCUCUUUCACCGAUGAAGAUAAUGACGGUAGUCGGAGAAGAAGCCCCGGCUAACUCCGUGCCAGCAGCCGCGGUAAUACGGAGGGGGCUAGCGUCGUUCGGAAUUCCUGGGCGUAAAGGGCGCGCAGGCGGCUGCUCAAGUCAGGCGUGAAAGGCCUGGGCUCAACCCGGGAAUUGCGCUUGAGACUGAGCUGGCUUGAGUGCGGGAGAGGAUGGUGGAAUUCCCAGUGUAGAGGUGAAAUUCGUAGAUAUUGGGAAGAACACCGGUGGCGAAGGCGGCCAUCUGGACCGUAACUGACGCUGAGGCGCGAAAGCGUGGGGAGCAAACAGG